RNAcentral lists this ribosomal RNA (258 nucleotides) under uncultured bacterium. Its description in RNAcentral is "partial 16S ribosomal RNA". It matches the Rfam family "Bacterial small subunit ribosomal RNA", at positions 524 to 778 of the family's 1533-position model. The record is from RNAcentral.
UACGUAGGGUGCAAGCGUUAAUCGGAAUUACUGGGCGUAAAGCGUGCGCAGGCGGUUUUUGUAAGUCUGUCGUGAAAUCCCCGGGCUCAACCUGGGAAUUGCGAUGGAGACUGCAAGGCUAGAAUCUGGCAGAGGGGGGGUAGAAUUCCACGUGUAGCAGUGAAAUGCGUAGAGAUGUGGAGGAACACCGAUGGCGAAGGCAGCCCCCUGGGGCUGAGAUUGACGCUCAGGCACGAAAGCGUGGGGAGCAAACAGGAU